This 564-nucleotide small RNA is filed under the name Pongo abelii (Sumatran orangutan). RNAcentral describes it as "retained intron". The record is from RNAcentral. Lineage: Eukaryota; Metazoa; Chordata; Mammalia; Primates; Hominidae.
GUUUUUGUACGAUGCUUACAUAGACUUUGAAAUACAUUUCCAAAUAUAAUAUCAUUUUUAAUACGAAUAUGAUCUGGAAGUUACUAGUGUUAUUUAUGUGCAAGUGCAACCAAAGCCCACCCAGGAAAUGUCCGUGCUGUGUCUCUUGCCCCACAGGUCAUUAAUAGCAUCUGGGCUCUAUGGCUACAAUGCCACCCUGGUGGGAAUACUCAUGGCUGUCUUUUCGGACAAGGGAGACUAUUUCUGGUGGCUGUUACUCCCUGUAUGUGCUAUGUCCAUGACUUGCCCAAUUUUCUCAAGCGCACUGAAUUCCAUGCUCAGCAAAUGGGACCUCCCUGUCUUCACCCUCCCUUUCAACAUGGCGUUGUCAAUGUACCUUUCAGCUACAGGACAUUACAAUCCGUUCUUUCCAGGCAAACUGGUCAUACCUGUAACUACAGCUCCAAAUAUCUCCUGGUCUGACCUCAGUGCCCUGGAGUUGUUGAAAUCUAUACCAGUGGGAGUUGGUCAGAUCUAUGGCUGUGAUAAUCCAUGGACAGGGGGCAUUUUCCUGGGAGCCAUCCU